CUCAUGCGGAGUGUUGUUUGUCGGUGUCUCCGGAACACCUGGAUGGACAGCACCGGGAAAUUCCGCUCGUGCUUGGUGUUGGUGACUCACGCCAGCGGGUCGGCACAGCAGACACAGAGAGGAGGCCUGAUUUUCAGCUUCAAUGCAAGGAAACAUUAGUGCGCCGCAAGAUACGCCAAGACCGCAGGCACACGUUUCCUGGAAACAAUUGAGACAGAAACACAAACAGGUGCCCCACGCCCACCCCCAGCAACAACACACCCGCUUAACUUCCUAAAGGCCUCUGAUGAAAUGCCACGAUUUCAUGGAGGGCACGCCACGUACUGAGUGGUCCAAAAACGUGAUGAUUAUGACCUGGAAAAAUCUGCUGAACGCACUGGGCAAUUGUUCCACAGGAAGGAAAACGAAUAACGACCCUUGCUGAACCGAACACUGAAAAGAGGAACACUUCGGGAAUGCUUCCCAGUAACUCUGCGCACGCACAGCAAGCAUUCGCGAGCGGCAAGGACACUGCAACUAUCAAGAUGACCUCCGGAUGUCCAUGCAUCGAUUCAAGUGCACGCACUGAGGACCUUGAAGUUGGCCAGCCAGUUUGACAAAUGUGUAAUUGCGGGUACAUAGUUCGCCAGUGAAAGCGCUUUAUUGAUCAAAACGGGAAAAGGAAGCUGACCCUAUAUGCAUAUUUUACAACCAAAAACCCUCAGGGAUUUUGUUUGAUAAAAUAUUAAAGGGCGAACUAAAUAUUUCGCUUAGUGACACUGAAACGACAAGAGGACAAUGUAUACUGCAGGAUAACAUUCGUUAACGUUAAGGCUAGUCACAUUUUUCACGACGUAAAAGGAAAUCGAUGGUAUAAUGUGCUCGCAAAGUAUGACCUUAUUUGCUACAGAAAAUGCUAUUGGAAUGGUUGUAGCCUAUUCAAUGAUAACUAAACAGCAGCUUGACAGUUCGUAUCGGAGUACAAAUCCAGAUGUUCGUGAUACUUCUAUGGCAACUACCAAGCUACAACACCAAGCACGAAAAUGUACAAAUAGCUGGUCUGCUUUGUUAGUUUGCGUAACUGUUAAUGUCAUAGCGAAUCUUACAUUUGUUGCUAGAAAUAAAGAGCAUGUGCCCAGACAAUACCAUAUAGCCGUCACCUGAGACACAAAGAGGACUAAUUCUCGCUGGCCAAGUUGCAAUACCUGUUAUUCAUUAGAGGAAACGAAUACAUCUUUAUAAGCAUGCACAGUGAUUACAAACACGCGCGUGGGUCUUUCGUUUUGCGCAGAUACGAGAGCUAUUAUAACCUUACAGAGCCUAGCUAGAUAACAGCUAGUACUAGCAUAGCCAGCCUUGAAUGGGGGUUGGGCUGCUCACAAGAUAGCAAGCUUGCUACAUAACGUUAAAUGAAUGGAGUGGAAUACACAUUUCUCACAGAUAAUUCACAAGAGGACUGUAUUGACUCACCUGACUAUAAUGCACCCUGAACGGUUUCAGGUGAUUGGAGCUGGUACAUGGAACGACCUGGAUAUUAUUAAUCUGAUCCAUUAUUCAUAUAGAUCCUAUCCAGCUGCCCACUUGAUCUUCAAAUCUCACCACAGACGGCACAAACGCAGAAAAGGAUAACGGAGGAAAAAUGCCUACGGGUACCUAUGAAGGACAGUCCACAGAAAUAACGUUCGAAUUCAAAGCAAAUCCAGUCAGAAAGGAGGCUGUCGUGAUUUAUAUAUAGCAUACUACGUCACAUUUACUAAAAUUAUAGGAUCUACGGAAAGUAUGAUAUGCAAUGCAUUAUCUAUAUCACGCAACACCUAUCAUGCAUAAUGAAUUAUAUUUCAUAUAACAACCACUUAUAGAGGCAGAUUCGAGUCUCAGAACAAUCAAGGACACGAUUGAGCAACAAUUCGGUGAGAGUAAAGUCAAAUCCAACGGUUAGAGGACAUGACAUACAGUAUAGCCUACAUAUUUAGAGGUGGAACGUGCACCAAACAGUAAUCUCUUGGCCAAGCCUAUUAUUUGAAAGAGAGCAUCUAAAAUGUAGACUAGUGUAGAGAUAUACUGCCGUACUUCACCAUAUGGCUUGAUUUCAGUAUGUUUGAUUUCUCUCUCACCAAAAUAAUAUUUACAUUAUAUCGAUGUUUCAUAGUUCAUGUUUAAUAUUUACAUGUUCAGUUACAUAAUAGUGGCUGUAUUCAGUGAAAUCAAUAAUAGCAACUGAUGUGCAUAGUAAUAUAAUAUUAGGCCUAAUGCUAAUAAGGUUCUCCCCCAUAAUAAAUAAAAACUGAAUUAAUCAGUCUCGUGGUGAUUUCCUUAAAUGUGCUUAUAGAACAUUUUAAAAUAUCGGACGUCCAAUUGGUUCGUUUCUCUUCUCACGAAUCUUUCUCUUUUAAAAAUGUUUUUAGCACUUUAUGCGUUGGCCUCCAAAGCUCCAAUGGAAUGCAAAUAUAACAUUGGUCGCGCACGCCAGGUAAAAGACUAUUGGUCCGCGCUGGCGGUCCCUCCAGCUAACGGUUUCAUUCCGUCGCUCACACCUCCGCUCCCGGCUGUCUCCGUGGCGGGCAUAUAUCAGAUGUCUACAGUGCAGUGCGUAACACAUAGAUCUAUUUCAAAAGCAAACAUUGACGUCUUUGCUCUGCGUCAUUACUCGGGGAGCACACCUGGUGGCUGUCGAUGAAUGCGCUGCGUUAUUUCACAAAAUUUUCGUCGUUCUGACUCGUGCAGACAGGCCCUGGCAGAGUGAACUGACUUCAUUGAUUAUUAUUAGGUUCUGGUUCUCCUCUAUGCAGGUAAACAAAAAGAGUUAUAGCAGUAUGAGGAAUGAGCCCUUUGUGGUUCCAGGUGACCCAAAAUUGCAGAGGUUUAUCUUGAAGUAAUAGGUAACAUUUUUUACAUUGGCAAUUCACCAAGUACAUACUGUACAUGUGAAUGUGUGUAAGCACGUUUAUUCAGUUUCACUUUAAAUAGUGGAAUGGUCCCAGGUGGUGUUUUUUCCCCAGAUAUCAAAACACUAACUGUUGUACAAAAAUGAUUCAUGUAACAGCAGAUGCCCUCUCGUGUCCUACAGUACUUUUAAUCGUUCAGGCCUCUCCAUGUCAGGAUUACCUGCUAAUCUGUACAGGGAGUUAUGUGCAGUGUAAGAGGUUUGACUUCAAAAGACUGAUAACAACGAUACUGAACCAGGCCUCUAAAGGGAUUAUUUCUGUGCUGAAAACCGGCAGCUAAAUGUGAAGAUGUUAUCCUUAGUUCUCCUAAUUAAAAUGAUGAAAUGUGCUUCACUUUGAAACUGUGCCAGUUAGAUACAAUUCAACAGUCAAACAUAACCCCUAAAAUUGCUUGUUCUCCUCUUAAUGCACAGAAAGAACCCGUGGAAUGUCCUCGCAGUCUUGUUAGCCUACAAAUAACCCAUGGCUGUAAAUACUGGUCCGAGGUGAAAUGCAUGGUUUAGGUGUAUUUUUAAGGCAGGGAUCCAUUUAGUGCAGUCUUAUCUGUCCAUCUUUCAGACUGGAAAGCUCUGUUUAACCAGGACUCGUGUCUUUUUAUCUCAUCGUACGGCUCUGAUUGCCACUCAUUCGUACCAGCUGGGGUGGCUUAGGUUGCCUCUGUCCUCCUUAUAAUCCCACCUUUCUCUUUCCUCUGUGCCUCGAUGAUAAAUGACUUGACAUGCCCUUUGAUGUACCCAAAGGUUACAGAAAGGAAACAAGAAAUUGUUUAAUCCCCUUUUACUGGGAAGCCCUUUUUCUGCUUUUGCAAUGGGUGCAGGUCACAUCUUCAUCAUGAGUGCCCUUUAAGAAAAAUCUCCACAGUUCACCUCGCAGUUAUCGUUUUGCACACGUGUGGUUUGUCUAGAUGUUUCUUUGCCGCCUGGAAAGUCAAUCAAUGAGUAUUUUGAAAUUCACCCACAAGGUAAGUGUUUUUGUAGGGCAUUCACUUUGCAUUGAGCAUUAAAGUUCAAUAGCCUGAUUUGAAUAUACAUGUUAGAUCCCACCAAACAUGUCCAUGGGUUUUUAUUUUUUGUGCUGAGCAAUCAAAAUCUGAUAAGAUGCUCAGUUCCUUCCAGAGGUGAGAUGUAUUUCCUGUUAUGAAUAUGCAUUUAAUUAUGGGGUAAUAUUCUGCACUGUGUAUGAAGGCUGGUCUGUCAUUGUCUGGCAGUUCUGUCCCAUUCCCAUAUUGGCCUUUGUAAUAAAAAAAAUCCUACUUGAGUUUCUUCACCCCAACAAAAUUGACACUGAUCCUAAUGCAGUAACAACUUUUCAAGCGAUACAACUUUUGCUUUGACCAUUAAUGUAUCGUUUGAGCCAGACAGGGCCUCUCUCGCUUAACUGAGCUGAAUUUCUCUCAGAGGAAGAGGAAGUGGAGCGAGAACUGAUCACUCUGUGAGGACAACAAUGAUGGACCCUUUGCUUCUCACAACUAACAACUCCCAUUCUUAACGAUCAUAUCUGGUAGUAUGUGGAAAAAUAUAUUUAAAAAUGUAGAAAAAUAAUAUAUUCAAUAUAAAAUAAAUGUAGUAUAUUUACAAAAAACAUACUCCGUCCAGCCUCUUUGGAACUCACAUAUCAACAUGUUGAUUGUCAGACCUCAUUUAUAGCUGAUUAGCUCAUUGGUAAUUUUUUCCAUUAGUUGAAUUAACUGGUAGAUUAACUGGGAAACCUCAAACCUGUUAAUUACAUCUCACUUGAAACACUUUUUAAACAUACAAAUACAUACAAAUACAUUGCCAAGAUACUCAAACAUACAAAGCACUGUUUAUAAGUCUUUAAUUAAAACUUGUAAAAUCUAGGCCUGCUGUUAAAAUCAUUAUAUCAAAAUGAGACCAAAACAACAAACAGUAUUGGUUGUCUCAGCUCACACAAAUUAAACAAGCUGUAUUCCAAAGCAAUCGCAAAAUUAAAUUAUACUAUUAUACGUAUUUAGCUAAAGUUUAUCUGACCUACAUACACACAGUACAUUAAUGGAGCAAACAUACUGUAUGUCUGGAUAGGUUUGUAAGAUUCAAUAUUUAUUUAAUAGGCCUAAAUAUCUGUAAAUCUUAUCUGUAUUUAUGUAUUCAUUCCUCUCCCCCCUUUCACUAGUGUAAAUUAUUGUAUGUCUUGUUAUAAAUUGUUAAUGUGAAGCUGAUAAGCUGCUGGGGAUAAUGAAGUAUUCUAUAUGUAUUUAUUGAUCCAUUGAUCCAUCCUCUUUUAGCAUAUUUUACAGAAUUUAUUUUAAGUUGCAAAUAUAAAAGGACAUUUGGUAAAAUCAACUUGACAACCAAGUAUAAACAUAUCCUUUCUGGAGUGUAAGUUUUCAUCAGCUGUUUAAGACAAUACUUAGGAAAUAUAGGGUAACAUUGCUCUGGAAUAAAGGUUGUUUAAUUUGUGUGACCUAAGAUAACUAACAUUGUUUGAUGUAACU
Molecule: long non-coding RNA, 5376 nt
Organism: Anguilla rostrata (American eel)
Lineage: Eukaryota; Metazoa; Chordata; Actinopteri; Anguilliformes; Anguillidae
Exons: 3
Source: RefSeq, a predicted model, not a curated record